Molecule: transfer RNA, 72 nt
Filed under: Phanerochaete carnosa
Lineage: Eukaryota; Fungi; Basidiomycota; Agaricomycetes; Polyporales; Phanerochaetaceae
Description: tRNA-Phe
Rfam family: tRNA
About the family: Transfer RNA (tRNA) molecules are approximately 80 nucleotides in length. Their secondary structure includes four short double-helical elements and three loops (D, anti-codon, and T loops).
Source: RNAcentral
GCCUGGGUAGCUUAAUGGUAGAAGCGCUAAUUUGAAGCAUUGGAGAAAUGAGUUCGAUUCUCUUUCUGGGCA